This 385-nucleotide ribosomal RNA is filed under the name Telonemia sp. Its description in RNAcentral is "partial small subunit ribosomal RNA". It matches the Rfam family "Eukaryotic small subunit ribosomal RNA", at positions 582 to 975 of the family's 1831-position model. Lineage: Eukaryota; Telonemia. The record is from RNAcentral.
AUUCCAGCUCCAAUAGCGUAUAUUAAAGUUGUUGCAGUUAAAAAGCUCGUAGUUGGAUCUCAGGGUGAGCUCAGUUGGUCGGCCUAAUUGGUCAGAACUGGCUGACUCUCCCUUGUUUCUGAAUCCCGGUCGGAGUUAAUUCUUCGUUCGUGGACUUCAGAUCGUUUACCUUGAAAAAACUAGAGUGUUCAAAGCGGGCGUUUGCUUGAAUACAUUAGCAUGGAAUAAUGGAAUAGGACCCUGGUUCUAUUUUGUUGGUUUUGAGGACCAGAGUAAUGAUUAAUAGGGAUAGUUGGGGGCAUUCAUAUUUAAUUGUCAGAGGUGAAAUUCUUGGAUUUUGGAAAGAUGAACUACUGCGAAGGCAUUUACCAAGGAUGUUUCAUCG